RNAcentral lists this ribosomal RNA (41 nucleotides) under Sempervivum altum. RNAcentral describes it as "partial 26S ribosomal RNA". The record is from RNAcentral. Lineage: Eukaryota; Viridiplantae; Streptophyta; Magnoliopsida; Saxifragales; Crassulaceae.
GGGACCCCAGGUCAGGCGGGACCACCCGCUGAGUUUAAGCA